GUUUUACUUUAUUUUUCAAUUUUUUUUUUACUGUUUCACUGCCAGCAAAUAGCUAACGUGGCCGGCAAUAGCCUAGAACUCGCCGCCGAAUCAUAAUAAACAAAAGUUCCGGUACGUACCGUCUCUGGGCCUUUUGUUGGGCUCUCGCCUUAUUCCGACGACCGAUAUAUGCCCUUUCUCCCCACUUUACUUUCUUCGUCCGUGUGCCACACG
This 213-nucleotide long non-coding RNA is filed under the name Linum usitatissimum (flax). RNAcentral describes it as "long non-coding RNA (LUSI_LNC005414)". Lineage: Eukaryota; Viridiplantae; Streptophyta; Magnoliopsida; Malpighiales; Linaceae. The record is from RNAcentral.